UCCAGACUCCUACGGGAGGCAGCAGUGGGGGAUAUUGCACAAUGGGGGAAACCCUGAUGCAGCGACGCCGCGUGGGUGAAGAAGCGCCUCGGCGCGUAAAGCCCUAUCGGCAGGGAAGAAGGAGGACGGUACCUGACUAAGAAGCCCCGGCUAACUACGUGCCAGCAGCCGCGGUAAUACGUAGGGGGCAAGCGUUAUCCGGAUUUACUGGGUGUAAAGGGGGCGCAGACGGCAGCGCAAGCCAGGAGUGAAAGCCCGGGGCCCAACCCCGGGACUGCUCUUGGAACUGCGCGGCUGGAGUGCAGGAGGGGCAGGCGGAAUUCCUGGUGUAGCGGUGAAAUGCGUAGAUAUUAGGAGGAACACCAGUGGCGAAGGCGGCUUACUGGACGGCAACUGACGCUGAGGCUCGAAAGCGUGGGGAGCAAACAGGAUUAGAUACCCGGGUAC
Molecule: ribosomal RNA, 447 nt
Filed under: uncultured bacterium
Lineage: Bacteria
Description: bacterial SSU rRNA
Rfam family: Bacterial small subunit ribosomal RNA
Source: RNAcentral